GGGUGUGGCUCAGUGGUAGAGUGCUUGCCUAGCAUGUGUGUUGCACUGGGUUCGAUUCUCAGCACCACA
Molecule: transfer RNA, 69 nt
Filed under: Marmota monax (woodchuck)
Lineage: Eukaryota; Metazoa; Chordata; Mammalia; Rodentia; Sciuridae
Description: tRNA.Ala
Rfam family: tRNA
About the family: Transfer RNA (tRNA) molecules are approximately 80 nucleotides in length. Their secondary structure includes four short double-helical elements and three loops (D, anti-codon, and T loops).
Source: RNAcentral